Molecule: ribosomal RNA, 253 nt
Filed under: uncultured archaeon
Lineage: Archaea
Description: partial 16S ribosomal RNA
Rfam family: Archaeal small subunit ribosomal RNA
Source: RNAcentral
AACCAGCACCUCAAGUGGUCAGGAUGAUUAUUGGGCCUAAAGCAUCCGUAGCCUGCUUUGUUAGUUUUCGGUUAAAUCCAUGUGCUCAACGCAUGGGCUGCCGAAAAUACUGCACAGCUAGGGAGUGGGAGAGGUAGACGGUACUCGGUAGGAAGGGGUAAAAUCCUUUGAUCUAUCGAUGACCACCUGUGGCGAAGGCGGUCUACCAGAACACGUUCGACGGUGAGGGAUGAAAGCUGGGGGAGCAAACCGG